This 343-nucleotide ribosomal RNA is filed under the name uncultured fungus. RNAcentral's name for it is "SSU rRNA". It matches the Rfam family "Eukaryotic small subunit ribosomal RNA", at positions 292 to 636 of the family's 1831-position model. Lineage: Eukaryota; Fungi. The record is from RNAcentral.
GGUUCAUUCAAAUUUCUGCCCUAUCAACUUUCGAUGGUAGGAUAUAGGCCUACCAUGGUUUCAACGGGUAACGGGGAAUUAGGGUUCUAUUCCGGAGAGGGAGCCUGAGAAACGGCUACCACAUCCAAGGAAGGCAGCAGGCGCGCAAAUUACCCAAUCCCGACCGGGGAGGUAGUGACAAUAAAUACUGAUACAGGGGGCUUCUGCCUCUUGUAAUUGGAAUGAGUACAAUUUAAAUCUCUUAACGAGGAACAAUUGGAGGGCAAGUCUGGUGCCAGCAGCCGGGUAAUUCCAGCUCCAAUAGCGUAUAUUACAGUUGUUGCAGUUAAAAAGCUCGUAGUUU